GAGCGGAGGUAUUCGCUGGACGAGGUCUUCGGACCGAGUCCAUGAAUAUCUUAGCGGCGGACGGGUGAGUAACGCGUGGGUAAUCUGCCCGAUACACCGGGUAUAACAUCUGGAAACGGAUGCUAAUACCGGUAUAAGCCCCCACUGUAGCAUUGCAGAGAGGGAAAAGAUUUAUCGGUAUCGGAGGAGCCCGCGUAAGAUUAGGUAGUUGGUGGGGUAAAGGCCCACCAAGCCUACGAUCUUUAGCCGACCUGAGAGGGUGAUCGGCCACACUGGGACUGAGACACGGCCCAGACUCCUACGGGAGGCAGCAGUGAGGAAUAUUGCACAAUGGACGAAAGUCUGAUGCAGCAACGCCGCGUGAGGGAAGAAGGUUUUCGGAUCGUAAACCUCUAUCGAUGGGGACGAAAAAAAUGACGGUACCCAAGUAAGAAGCCCCGGCUAACUACGUGCCAGCAGCCGCGGUAAU
RNAcentral lists this ribosomal RNA (469 nucleotides) under uncultured bacterium. Its description in RNAcentral is "bacterial SSU rRNA". It matches the Rfam family "Bacterial small subunit ribosomal RNA", at positions 64 to 524 of the family's 1533-position model. The record is from RNAcentral.